Neopsephotus bourkii (Bourke's parrot) is the source of this 364-nucleotide long non-coding RNA. RefSeq lists it as uncharacterized. The record is from RefSeq and is a predicted model, not a curated record. Lineage: Eukaryota; Metazoa; Chordata; Aves; Psittaciformes; Psittacidae. The transcript is spliced from 2 exons.
CACUGAACGUUUGGUUUCUUCCUUUUCCUUUCUAGGACAUGGAAAACAAAAUCAGAAGUACACUGAAUGAGAUUUAUUUUGGAAAAACAAAGGACAUCGUGAAUGGGCUGAGGUCUGUGCAGACUUUUGCAGACAAAUCAAAACAAGAAGCUCUUAAAAACGACCUGGUGGAGGCUUUGAAGAGAAAGCAGCAAAGUUAAAGUCCUCUCCAUGCUAACAAGACAUGCCAUGCACUCGUUAGAUUCCUUUCUUAGAGAACUCAUCCCUCCCCUUUGCCCUUUUCUGUUCCGUCACGUCACGAUUUGCAUUCAGUACUACCCAUGCAACGCCAUCUCCUCCCCAUGAAUAAAGCUGUACAAACUUU